UUUUUAAUUGACAUAGACCAAGUCAUCUA
Molecule: transfer RNA, 29 nt
Filed under: Ampelocissus gracilis
Lineage: Eukaryota; Viridiplantae; Streptophyta; Magnoliopsida; Vitales; Vitaceae
Description: partial tRNA-Phe
Source: RNAcentral